UUUCCGUAGGUGAACCUGCGGAAGGAUCAUUACAGAGUUCAUGCCCUCACGGGUAGAUCUCCCACCCUUGAAUAUUUAUACCUUAGUUGCUUUGGCAGGCCGUGGAAACACCAUGGGCUCCGGCUUAUGCGUGCCUGCCAGAGGAAACAAACUCUGUUUUUAGUGACGUCUGAGUACUAUAUAAUAGUUAAAACUUUCAACAACGGGUCUCUUGGUUCUG
RNAcentral lists this unclassified non-coding RNA (220 nucleotides) under plant metagenome. RNAcentral's name for it is "partial contains small subunit ribosomal RNA, internal transcribed spacer 1, and 5.8S ribosomal RNA". The record is from RNAcentral.